GACGAACGCUUGCGGCGUGCUUAACACAUGCAAGUCGAACGGAAAGGCCCUGCUUUUGUGGGGUGCUCGAGUGGCGAACGGGUGAGUAACACGUGAGUAACCUGCCCUUGACUUUGGGAUAACUUCAGGAAACUGGGGCUAAUACCGGAUAGGAGCUCCUGCUGCAUGGUGGGGGUUGGAAAGUUUCGGCGGUUGGGGAUGGACUCGCGGCUUAUCAGCUUGUUGGUGGGGUAGUGGCUUACCAAGGCUUUGACGGGUAGCCGGCCUGAGAGGGUGACCGGCCACAUUGGGACUGAGAUACGGCCCAGACUCCUACGGGAGGCAGCAGUGGGGAAUAUUGCACAAUGGGCGGAAGCCUGAUGCAGCAACGCCGCGUGCGGGAUGACGGCCUUCGGGUUGUAAACCGCUUUCGCCUGUGACGAAGCGUGAGUGACGGUAAUGGGUAAAGAAGCACCGGCUAACUACGUGCCAGCAGCCGCGGUGAUACGUAGGGUGCGAGCGUUGUCCGGAUUUAUUGGGCGUAAGGGCUUGUAGGUGGUUGAUCGCGUCGGAAGUGUAAUCUUGGGGCUUAACCCUGAGCGUGCUUUCGAUACGGGUUGACUUGAGGAAGGUAGGGGAGAAUGGAAUUCCUGGUGGAGCGGUGGAAUGCGCAGAUAUCAGGAGGAACACCAGUGGCGAAGGCGGUUCUCUGGGCCUUUCCUGACGCUGAGGAGCGAAAGCGUGGGGAGCGAACAGGCUUAGAUACCCUGGUAGUCCACGCUGUAAACGGUGGGUACUAGGUGUGGGGUCCAUUCCACGGGUUCCGUGCCGUAGCUAACGCUUUAAGUACCCCGCCUGGGGAGUACGGCCGCAAGGCUAAAACUCAAAGGAAUUGACGGGGCCCCGCACAAGCGGCGGAGCAUGCGGAUUAAUUCGAUGCAACGCGUAGAACCUUACCUGGGUUUGACAUGGAUCGGGAGUGCUCAGAGAUGGGUGUGCCUCUUUUGGGGUCGGUUCACAGGUGGUGCAUGGCUGUCGUCAGCUCGUGUCGUGAGACGUUGGGUUAAGUCCCGCAACGAGCGCAACCCUUGUUCACUGUUGCCAGCACGUUAUGGUGGGGACUCAGUGGAGACCGCCGGGGUCAACUCGGAGGAAGGUGGGGAUGACGUCAAGUCAUCAUGCCCCUUAUGUCCAGGGCUUCACGCAUGCUACAAUGGCUGGUACAGAGAGUGGCGAGCCUGUGAGGGUGAGCGAAUCUCGGAAAGCCGGUCUCAGUUCGGAUUGGGGUCUGCAACUCGACCUCAUGAAGUCGGAGUCGCUAGUAAUCGCAGAUCAGCAACGCUGCGGUGAAUACGUUCCCGGG
This 1342-nucleotide ribosomal RNA is filed under the name uncultured bacterium. Its description in RNAcentral is "16S ribosomal RNA". It matches the Rfam family "Bacterial small subunit ribosomal RNA", at positions 28 to 1378 of the family's 1533-position model. The record is from RNAcentral.